Molecule: ribosomal RNA, 813 nt
Filed under: uncultured archaeon
Lineage: Archaea
Description: bacterial SSU rRNA
Rfam family: Archaeal small subunit ribosomal RNA
Source: RNAcentral
CUGCAGGCGGCCGCACUAGUGAUUACUGCUCAGUAACACGUGGAUAAUCUACCCUAUGGUGGGGGAUAACCCCGGGAAACUGGGGAUAAUACCCCAUAGACUAUGGAAGCUGGAAUGCUCUGUAGCCGAAAGGUCCGCCGCCAUAGGAUGAGUCUGCGGCCGAUUAGGUUGUUGUUGGGGUAACGGCCCAACAAGCCUGUAAUCGGUACGGGUUGUGGGAGCAAGAGCCCGGAGAUGGAUUCUGAGACACGAAUCCAGGCCCUACGGGGCGCAGCAGGCGCGAAAACUUUGCAAUGCGGGAAACCGUGACAAGGGAACUCCGAGUGCCCGUAAAUUCGGGCUGUCCAUCAGUUUAAAUAACUGGUGAAGAAAGGGCCGGGCAAGACCGGUGCCAGCCGCCGCGGUAAUACCGGCGGCUCGAGUGGUGGCCACUAUUACUGGGCUUAAAGCGUCCGUAGCUGGUCUGUUAAGUCUCUGGGGAAAUCUACCGGCUUAACCGGUAGGCGUCUCAGGGAUACUGGCAGACUAGGGACCGGGAGAGGUGAGGGGUACUCCAGGGGUAGGAGUGAAAUCCUGUAAUCCUUGGGGGACCACCUGUGGCGAAGGCGCCUCACCAGAACGGCUCCGACAGUGAGGGACGAAAGCUGGGGGAGCAAACCGGAUUAGAUACCCGGGUAGUCCCAGCUGUAAACGAUGCGCGUUAGGUGUAUCGGUGACCACGAGUCACCGAGGUGCCGAAGGGAAACCGUGAAACGUGCCGCCUGGGAAGUACGGUCGCAAGGCUGAAACUUAAAGGAAUUGGCGGGGGAGCAC